GUUUGAUCCUGGCUCAGGACGAACGCUGGCGGCGUGCCUAACACAUGCAAGUCGAACGAGAAUCUUUGAACAGAUCUUUUCGGAGUGACGUUCAAAGAGGAAAGUGGCGGACGGGCGAGUAACGCGUGAGUAACCUGCCCAUAAGAGGGGGAUAAUCCAUGGAAACGUGGACUAAUACCGCAUAUUGUAGUUAAGUUGCAUGACUUGAUUAUGAAAGAUUUAUCGCUUAUGGAUGGACUCGCGUCAGAUUAGAUAGUUGGUGAGGUAACGGCUCACCAAGUCAACGAUCUGUAGCCGAACUGAGAGGUUGAUCGGCCGCAUUGGGACUGAGACACGGCCCAGACUCCUACGGGAGGCAGCAGUGGGGAAUAUUGCGCAAUGGGGGCAACCCUGACGCAGCAACGCCGCGUGCAGGAAGAAGGUCUUCGGAUUGUAAACUGUUGUCGCAAGGGAAGAAGACAGUGACGGUACCUUGUGAGAAAGUCACGGCUAACUACGUGCCAGCAGCCGCGGUAAUACGUAGGUGACAAGCGUUGUCCGGAUUUACUGGGUGUAAAGGGCGCGUAGGCGGACUGUCAAGUCAGUCGUGAAAUACCGGGGCUUAACCCCGGGGCUGCGAUUGAAACUGACAGCC
This 634-nucleotide ribosomal RNA is filed under the name uncultured bacterium. RNAcentral's name for it is "bacterial SSU rRNA". It matches the Rfam family "Bacterial small subunit ribosomal RNA", at positions 11 to 641 of the family's 1533-position model. The record is from RNAcentral.